UGGCUACAGAACGACGCUGGCGGCAGGCUUAACACAUGCAAGUCGAACGGGUGUAGCAAUACAUCAGUGGCAGACGGGUGAGUAACACGUGGGAACCUUCCUAGGGGUACGGAACAACUCAGGGAAACUUGAGCUAAUACCGUAUACGUCCGUGAGGAGAAAGAUUUAUCGCCCUUAGACGGGCCCGCGUAGGAUUAGCUAGUUGGUGGGGUAAAGGCCUACCAAGGCGACGAUCCUUAGCUGGUCUGAGAGGAUGAUCAGCCACACUGGGACUGAGACACGGCCCAGACUCCUACGGGAGGCAGCAGUGGGGAAUAUUGGACAAUGGGCGAAAGCCUGAUCCAGCAAUGCCGCGUGAGUGAUGAAGGCCUUAGGGUUGUAAAGCUCUUUUACCAGGGAUGAUAAUGACAGUACCUGGAGAAUAAGCUCCGGCUAACUCCGUG
Molecule: ribosomal RNA, 443 nt
Filed under: uncultured bacterium
Lineage: Bacteria
Description: bacterial SSU rRNA
Rfam family: Bacterial small subunit ribosomal RNA
Source: RNAcentral